Molecule: ribosomal RNA, 120 nt
Organism: Metarhizium anisopliae BRIP 53293
Lineage: Eukaryota; Fungi; Ascomycota; Sordariomycetes; Hypocreales; Clavicipitaceae
Source: Rfam
ACAUACGAUCAUAGCCGCUAGCAAAGCUCAGGAUCCCGUCCGAUCUCCUACGAUAACCUAGUGAGCGCUGGAUUAGUAGCUAGGUCGGUGACGACUAGCGAAUACCCAGUGUUGUAUGUU